GCCAACGGCAUAGCUGGGUAGCUAUGUAUGGACGGGAUAAGUGCUGAAAGCAUCUAAGCAUGAAGCCCCCCUCAAGAUGAGAUUUCCCCAACUUCGGUUAUAAGAUCCCUCAAAGAUGAUGAGGUUAAUAGGUUCGGGGUGGAAGCAUAGCGAUAUGUGGAGCUGACGAAUACUAAUCGAUCGAAGACUUAAUCAAAUUUCAAGUUUUGA
Molecule: ribosomal RNA, 210 nt
Filed under: Staphylococcus simulans
Lineage: Bacteria; Bacillati; Bacillota; Bacilli; Caryophanales; Staphylococcaceae
Description: partial 23S ribosomal RNA
Rfam family: Bacterial large subunit ribosomal RNA
Source: RNAcentral